RNAcentral lists this ribosomal RNA (1421 nucleotides) under metagenome. RNAcentral's name for it is "bacterial SSU rRNA". It matches the Rfam family "Bacterial small subunit ribosomal RNA". The record is from RNAcentral.
AGAGUUUGAUCCUGGCUCAGGAUGAACGCUGGCGGCGUGCUUAACACAUGCAAGUCGAACGAUCCUUCGGGAUAGUGGCGGACGGGUGAGUAACGCGUGGGAAUCUGCCCUUAGGAGGGGGAUAACGGCUGGAAACGGCCGCUAAUACCCCAUAUGCCGAGAGGUGAAACGAAUUUCGCCUGAGGAUGAGCCCGCGUCUGAUUAGCUAGUUGGUGGGGUAAAGGCCUACCAAGGCGACGAUCAGUAGCUGGUCUGAGAGGAUGAUCAGCCACACUGGGACUGAGACACGGCCCAGACUCCUACGGGAGGCAGCAGUGGGGAAUUUUCCGCAAUGGGCGAAAGCCUGACGGAGCAACGCCGCGUGAGGGAUGAAGGCCUCUGGGCUGUAAACCUCUUUUCUCAAGGAAGAAGAACUGACGGUACUUGAGGAAUAGGCCACGGCUAAUUCCGUGCCAGCAGCCGCGGUAAUACGGGAGUGGCAAGCGUUAUCCGGAAUUAUUGGGCGUAAAGCGUCCGCAGGCGGCCUUGUAAGUCUGUUGUUAAAGCGUGGAGCUCAACUCCAUUUAAGCAAUGGAAACUACAAGGCUGGAGUGUGGUAGGGGCAGAGGGAAUUCCCGGUGUAGCGGUGAAAUGCGUAGAUAUCGGGAAGAACACCAGUGGCGAAGGCGCUCUGCUGGGCCAUAACUGACGCUCAUGGACGAAAGCCAGGGGAGCGAAAGGGAUUAGAUACCCCUGUAGUCCUGGCCGUAAACGAUGAACACUAGGUGUCGGGGGAAUCGACCCCCUCGGUGUCGUAGCCAACGCGUUAAGUGUUCCGCCUGGGGAGUACGCACGCAAGUGUGAAACUCAAAGGAAUUGACGGGGGCCCGCACAAGCGGUGGAGUAUGUGGUUUAAUUCGAUGCAACGCGAAGAACCUUACCAGGGUUUGACAUCCUGCGAAUCCCUUGGAAACGAGGGAGUGCCUUCGGGAGCGCAGUGACAGGUGGUGCAUGGCUGUCGUCAGCUCGUGUCGUGAGAUGUUGGGUUAAGUCCCGCAACGAGCGCAACCCACGUCUUUAGUUGCCAGCAUUCAGUUGGGCACUCUAGAGAGACCGCCGGUGAUAAACCGGAGGAAGGUGUGGAUGACGUCAAGUCAUCAUGCCCCUUACAUCCUGGGCUACACACGUACUACAAUGCUACGGACAAAGGGCAGCAAGCUCGCGAGAGUUAGCAAAUCCCAUAAACCGUGGCUCAGUUCAGAUCGUAGGCUGCAACUCGCCUACGUGAAGGAGGAAUCGCUAGUAAUCGCAGGUCAGCAUACUGCGGUGAAUACGUUCCCGGGCCUUGUACACACCGCCCGUCACACCAUGGAAGUUGGCCAUGCCCGAAGUCGUUACUCCAACCCUUGUGGAGGAGGACGCCGAAGGUGGGGCUGAUGACC